This 370-nucleotide ribosomal RNA is filed under the name uncultured eukaryote. RNAcentral describes it as "partial 18S ribosomal RNA". It matches the Rfam family "Eukaryotic small subunit ribosomal RNA", at positions 592 to 976 of the family's 1831-position model. The record is from RNAcentral.
CAAUAGCGUAUAUUAAAGUUGUUGCAGUUAAAAAGCUCGUAGUUGGAUUUCUGGUCGGAAGCUCCUGUCCUCUGAUGAGCGUACAAGUGCGUCCUACCAUCCUUCUGUUAACCUUUAAGGCUUUCGCGGCUUUCUAGGGGCUCAGAUAUUUUACCUUGAGGAAAUUAGAGUGUUUCAGGCAGGCUAGCGCCGGAAUACAUUAGCAUGGAAUAAUGGAAUAGGACUUUUGCCUCUUCUGUUGGUCAUGAGGCUCGAGUAAUGAUUAAUAGGGAUAGUUGGGGGCAUUAGUACUUAACUGUCAGAGGUGAAAUUCUCGGAUUUGUUAAAGACUAACUUAUGCGAAAGCAUUUGCCAAGGAUGUUUUCAUUAA